RNAcentral lists this long non-coding RNA (1065 nucleotides) under Lonchura striata (white-rumped munia). Its description in RNAcentral is "domestica (Bengalese finch) lncRNA (ENSLSDG00000014575.1)". Lineage: Eukaryota; Metazoa; Chordata; Aves; Passeriformes; Estrildidae. The record is from RNAcentral.
GGAGCCCUCCCGAGGACCUGGAUGGGAGUUGCCCAGCCAGAAGUGCAUGUAGACAGCCCCCCCUCUGGAAAGCCACCCAGCCACAGCAGCAGGAUGGCCUGGAGGACAGGGAGGUACAACAGCCAGAAAACCAAGGGCAGGGUUUCUCUCUGAGGUGCUCUGAGGGACUCAAUGACACAUCUGUGCAGGUGAGUGCCAAGAAUAGAAUGGGAUGGUCUGAGACAGGAUGGGACAGGGGCACAAGCCUCUCCUGGUUGUCUGACUGCCCAUCACCACAGGUGACAGGGAAGUUCAUGGAGGGUAUCUUGAAUAUGUAGGUAAUGAAGGAGCAGCUAGAAGCCCAAGCUCCAAUCAUCAAACCAGUGGCCUUGAUCAGGGAACGGGAGCAUGAAAAUGCCACCAACACAGAGCUGUCCAAGGAAGAGGAAUGGGAAGACGCCAUAGACACAGAGGUCUCAGAGGAAGAAGAAUGGGAAGAUGCCAUUGAUGCUGAGGUGUCAGAGGAGGAGGAAUGGCAAGAUACAAUAAGCACAGAGAUGUCUCAAGGAACAGGUGCUGUUGGGUCACCUUCUGUCCACCACCGGGUCAGUUCCUUGGGUCUGGAGGACAACUCUAAUCCCAGGGAGAGUCCCAACUUCCCCAGCAAUGUGGGCAGAGAGGCUUCAGGAGACACAGUUGACAAACUGCUGAGAGCAAUUCCUGGCCCAGCAGAUUCCCAGCUGGCUAAUUCUGCCCUGCUUGUAGCUCCUGAGGAAGAGGAGCACCAUACACCUCUCAAACAUGAGGAGGCAGAGCCACCAGCUUCUUCUUCCCCUGUAGAGGCUGCAAGAGCAGCAGGGGCAGAGAACCAGGCACCUGCUCCACAUGGUCCCAUAGCCAAUGGCCCAGCUCAGGUGGACAUAGCCCAGUCCAUGGAGGCUGAGGGCCUGGACAAGGCUGUGCGUAUAGUCCAAGGACUUGAUGAGCCACAAAGAGAAAUGUGGGGCCAGGAACAAAGCAAGAACAAGGUGACAGAAGACAAAGUCAAAGCAGAAGGAACAGAGAAUCUGGAAGCUGGCCUGCAGA